This 717-nucleotide ribosomal RNA is filed under the name uncultured bacterium. Its description in RNAcentral is "bacterial SSU rRNA". It matches the Rfam family "Bacterial small subunit ribosomal RNA", at positions 94 to 801 of the family's 1533-position model. The record is from RNAcentral.
AGUGGCGAACGGGUGAGUAAUACAUAAAUAAUCUGCCCAUUGGACUGGGAUAACUAUUGGAAACGAUAGCUAAUACCGGAUAGGUGAUUUGAAGGCAUCUUCGAAUCAUUAAAGUAGGGUCACUACACCAAUGGAUGAGUUUAUGGCGCAUUAGUUAGUUGGCGGGGUAACGGCCCACCAAGACGAUGAUGCGUAGCCGACCUGAGAGGGUGACCGGCCACACUGGGACUGAGACACGGCCCAGACUCCUACGGGAGGCAGCAGUAGGGAAUUUUCGGCAAUGGGCGCAAGCCUGACCGAGCAACGCCGCGUGAGUGAUUAAGGCCUUCGGGUUGUAAAGCUCUGUUGUAAGGGAAGAACAUUCAGGAUAGGAAAUGAUCUUGAACUGACGGUACCUUACCAGAAAGCCACGGCUAACUACGUGCCAGCAGCCGCGGUAAUACGUAGGUGGCAAGCGUUAUCCGGAAUUAUUGGGCGUAAAGGGUGCGUAGGCGGUUUAUUAAGUCUAUGGUGAAAGUGCGGGGCUCAACCCCGUAUGGCCAUAGAAACUAGUAGACUUGAGUGCAGGAGAGGGCAAUGGAAUUCCAUGUGUAGCGGUAAAAUGCGUAGAUAUAUGGAGGAACACCAGUGGCGAAGGCGGUUGCCUGGCCUGUAACUGACGCUGAGGCACGAAAGCGUGGGGAGCAAAUAGGAUUAGAUACCCUAGUAGUCCACACU